This 4880-nucleotide long non-coding RNA is filed under the name Equus caballus (horse). RNAcentral describes it as "lncRNA (ENSECAG00000040433.3)". The record is from RNAcentral. Lineage: Eukaryota; Metazoa; Chordata; Mammalia; Perissodactyla; Equidae.
GUGAAAGAUACAAGGCAGAGGGCAACAUGAACUCUGCCCUCGGGGCAUUCAAAAUCUCCUAGGAGAGAACUGCCAUUGCACAAGUAAGCAUAAUACAAGUUAAAAGUGAAUUUGCCAUCAAAUGGGUCUAAAUAAAGGGCUAUGAGAGAUCAGAGGAAGAAAAGCAGUCCUCUCAGCUUUGGUCAGGUUUGGUCCACAAACAAAUCAAAUUCUUAUUAAUUAGGUUCUUGUUCUGUCUCCUACUGUCACUGACAAACUAAAUUGCUUCAAAAAUAAUCCUCUCCCAUGGGAGAUCUUACAGACAGACCCUAAUUGCCCCACCAAACUGCUUAGAAUUGAGCUCUGAAAAGAACUACAAAAGAGGUCAAAGGGGGCAAACAAGAGAUUUUAAAAUAUUUGGUUUUAAAGGAUAUGAGUAGUAGGAUACCAAAGCCUGAGGGUGCACAGCUGAGGUCAAUUGGUAUUAAUUGCUAACACCUAGAGGUAAUUAGCAAUAAUUACCCAAAGGAGGGAAGGGAGCAGCCAGAAGGACUUAAAGGCAGUAUUUCCAGGAACUCCUACCACACUGGGAACCUAAUAGUUUCUCAGUAAGAGGAAAUAAAUGUUUUCCACAGCAAUUUGUUUAGUUUUUAAAUUGCACUACAAAGAAACGCCUGAGGGAAGCUUAUGUAUAUACUAUUAAAACUUGUAGGUCCUCCUAUCCAGAGGUGAAGAUUUUUGCCCAUCCAUUGAGUCUGAGCUGGUCUUAUGAUUUGCUGUAACUAGAAGAGUGCAGGGAAAGUGAAAUUUACAUUACUUCUGUUGCUGGGUCUUAAAAGACCUUGCAGCCUCCACUUAGACCUUUUAGGAAUGCUGUGCUGAGAUCAUCUUGUGAGGAAGCUGGUCUAGCCUACUGGAGGAUGAGCAAAGUUGCAUAGAAGAUCCCGGCAUCCAGACGGAUGGCACCAACUCCAGAUGCACAUUCCACGUCCCACUGACUGCAACCCCACGAAUGAGCCAGAUCCACUUUCUAUCCUUCUCCACUCUGCUCUCUGUCCAGGAAGGCUGAUCUCUAUGGACUACCUCAAUAGAUCCCAUUCAGAUGUCACACCAUCCCUGCAUCUCUGGAAUGAAUCCCACCUGAUCAAGGGUAAUGAAGGCUUCAUAGAAGGAGUUAGGAAGACUCCCCUCCUCUUCAAUUUUUUGGAAGACUUUGAGAAGGAGAACCUCUUUGUGAGAAGGCUGGUCCAUACCAAGGUUCUAAUCUGCAAUUAUCUAGAAGAACAAAGCCUGUCCAGAAGAUAUUGAACUUACAACAGUUGUCUACAAUCAUAUUUUUCUAAAUGAAGAUUUGCCAAGUCAGCAUCCAAUUGCUUUCCUUUCCUUGUAUUUUUCUAUAGUGCUUUGGCAUUUGUGAAAUGCUUUUACAUUCUGCAUUUUAUUUACCUUUACUUUUGACAUAGAAAUCUAGGUUGGCAGGUUUGGUUUUUAUAUUUCCCCAGCUCUUUAAAUUUGUCUUCCCAUUUUUUGUGUUCUAGUUGUUUUUAUUGAGAAGCCAUUUAUCAGUCUAGUUGUUCCUUUGAAGGAGAUAUAUAUCCAACCCCUCCACCCUAGCUGCUUUAAAGAUUUUUUCUUUGUCUUUGACUUAUAGCAGUUUGACUCUGAUGUGCCUAGGUGUGGUUUUCUGUGUAUUGAUCCUGCUUGGAAGGUUCUUGAAUCUGUGACUUGUUGACUUGAUUAGUUUUGGAAAAUUUUGGCUAUCAUUUCAUUAAAUAUUGUUUUUAUUCUAUCCUCUUUCUUGUUUCCUCUCCUGGGAUUCCAAAUAGAUUUCCCAUAUGUGCUAUAUGUAUUUUUCUGAUUUUUCCACCUUUUAUUUUCUCUCUGUGAUUUAAUCUGGAUAUUUUCUAAUAACAUUUUUUAAAGACUUUUUUUUUUUGGAAGCAGUUUUAGAUUUACAAUAAAAUUGAGAGGAAGGUACAGAGAUCUCCCACAUAGUCUCUGACUGCACACACGCAUAGCCUCCAUCAUUAUCAACAUCACUCACCAGAGUCAUUUGUUACCGAGGAUGAACCUACAUUGAUACAUCAUAAUCAUCCAAAGUCCAUAGUUUACCUUAGGGUUCGCUCUUGGUGUUGUACAUUCCAUGGGUUUGGACAAAUGUAUAAUGACAUAUAUCCAUCAUUAUAAUAUCAUACGGAGUAUUUUCAUUGCCUUAAAAAUCUUAUGUGCUCUAUCCAUUCAUCCUUUCCCUCACCUCACCCCAGGAAACCACUGAUAUUUUUACCAUCUCAGUAGCUAUACCUUUUCCUGAAUGUCAUAUAGUUGGAAUCAUAUGAUAUGUACCUUUCUUGGAUUGAAUUCUUUCAUUUAGUAAUAUGCAUUUAAGAUUCCUCUGUAUCUUUUCACGGCUUGAUAGUUCAUUUCUUCUCAGCGCUGAAUAAUGUUCCAUUGUCUGGAUGUACCAUAGUAUAUUUAUCCAUUCAUCUACUGAAGAAUAUCUGGGUUGUUUCCAAGUUUUGGCAAUUAUGAACAGAGCUCCUAUAAACAUCCGUAUGCAGGUUUUUGAGUGGACAUAACUUUUCAACUCCUUUGCGUAAAUACCAAGGAGCAGUAUAGUUGCUGGAUUGUGUGAUAAGAAUAAGUUUAGUUUUGCAAAAACCACCAAAUUGUCUUCCAAAGUAGUUGUACCAAUUUGCAUUUCCACCAGCAAUGAAUGAGUGUUCCUAUUGCUCCGUGUCCUCACCAACGUUUGGUCUUGUCACUAUUCUGGAUUUUGGCCAUUCUAAGAAGUGUGUAGUGGUAUCUCAUUAUUUUAAUUUACAUUUCUCUGAUGACAUAUGAUGUGGAGUGUUUUUUCAUAUUUGCCAUCUGUAUAUCUUAUUUGCUGAGGUGUCUGUUAAGGUCUUUGACCCAUUUUUUAAUCAAGUUGUUUGUUUUUUUCUGAGUUUUAAGAAUUCUUCAUAUAUUUUAGACAACAGUCCUUUAUCAGAUUUGUCUUUUGCAGGUAUUUCCUCCCAGCCUGUGGCUUGCCAUCUCAUUCUCUUGAUGUUGUCUUUUGCAGAGCAGAAGUUUUUAAUUUAAACAAAGUCUAGCAUAUCAAUUAUCUCUUUCAUGGAUUGUGUCUUUGUAUCUAAAAAGUCAUUGGCAAACCCAAGGUCAUCUAGGUUUUCUCCUAUGUUAUCUUUUAGGAGUUUUAUAGUUUUGUGUUUUACAUUUAGAUCUACAAUUCAUUUUGUCUGUGAAUCCAUUAAUUUUUGUGAAGGGUGUUAAGAUCUGUGUUUGGAUUCAUUUUUCUUCAUGUAAAUGUCCAGUUGUUCCCACACCAUUUGUUGACGAGACUAGCUUUUCUCCAUUGUAUUGCCUUUGCUCCUUUGUCAAAGACAAGUUGAUAUUGUUUGUGGAGGUCUAUUUCUGUGCUCUCUGUUCUAUUUCAUUGAUCCAUUUGUUCUUUUGCCAAUACCACAUUGUCUUGAUUACUGUAGCUUUAUAAUAAGUCUUGAAGUUGGGUAGCACCAGUCCUCCAAGUUUGUUCUUUUCCUUCAAUAUUGUGUUGGUAAUUCUGGCUCUUUUUCCUCUCCCUAUAAACUUCAGAACCAAUUUGUUGAUAUCCAUAAAAUAAUUUGCUGGGUUUUGAUUGGGAAUAACCUUUUUUAGCUUACUAAUUCUCUCUUCCAUUGGCCACUCUUUCAUUAAAUCCUCUUAUUGAAUUCUUAAUUUCAGUUAUGUUUUUCAGUUUCAGUGUUUCCAUUUAAUUUUAAAAAAAUAAAUUCCAGUUUGCCUGUGAAGUUUCACAUAUUUUGCUUAUUUUCUUGGUUUUAUUGGUUAUAGCUAUUUUAAAGUCUCUAUAUGCUAAUUUCAAUAUUAGAAUAUUCAAUGAGUUGAGCUCUUGAUUAUUUGAUUUUGAUUAUUUUGAUUGUUUUUGAUUAUUUUGACCUGUUUUGUGAUUUAUUUGCUAAUUUUGUAUUGAAUGCUAAACAUUAUGUAUAAAAUAUUGUAGAAGGUCUGGAUGAUAUCUACUUCCAGAAAGAAUUUAAUUUUUUUCUGGCAGGUAGAUAAAGUAAAAGCAGAUCAUUUCUUCCAGUCAAUACUGGGUUUCAGGCUUUGUUAGGACUGGUCUAUUUUUGGUUUACCUUUACUCCUAGGACACAGACUUGUUUUUUCCUAGGGCAUAGCCCUUUUCGGGUCUUGGUAAAAAUCCUGGAGUGCUUACCUGAUCUCCUACCUGUGUCUCCAUUACACAACUGAAACCUCUGCUCAGCUCUUUGGUCUCCCAGCCAUUGCUUUCCAUUUGACUUGUUGGUGUCUCAACCUGAGCAUGAGAGAUGGAAAAUAUCUUUAAGAGAAAUUACACUUCUCUUGGACCUUGGUCUCAAGUCUCUGGUGACUUGGAGGUCCUGAACUCCAACCUCUGUGUUCCCAGCUCAUUGAAACUGUUGCAAGCUCCAGGCCAUUGUAUUUUACUCUCAUUAUGUAGAGAAUUGGCAAAUUCCCUGAGUCAACUGCAGAGCAGUGUGUAACUCACCUCAGUGUGUUUCUCCUCCCUCCGGGAACUUGGCCCCUCAAGUCCUGGCUGCCUUAAUUGCAUGCUGAUACCUUCAAAGAGCUGUAUUUUUCAUUUUAUUCACAUUAUGUAAUUACUCCUAGUAAGAUAGUUAAUCUGAUACCAGCUAUUGCAUCAUAGCCAAGAGCAGAAGCCCAGGGUCCUAUAUUUCAUUUGAUCUUCAACAAAUUUGUGAAAUAAGCCUGACAUGAAAUUAAGUCUUAGGAAAGUUAGGUAACUUGCCAUGGCAUAAGCCAAAUAAGAUAAAUAGGUGAUCCUGGAGUUCAGGCCAGGUAUUUUGACUUUCCUCUUACCGUCAGCCAAAGCUUGAAAUGUGUUUCAUAUUCAGUUUUGGAUUCUG